AUUGAACGCUGGCGGCAGGCCUAACACAUGCAAGUCGAGCGGAUGAAGGGAGCUUGCUCCUGGAUUCAGCGGCGGACGGGUGAGUAAUGCCUAGGAAUCUGCCUGGUAGUGGGGGAUAACGUCCGGAAACGGGCGCUAAUACCGCAUACGUCCUGAGGGAGAAAGUGGGGGAUCUUCGGACCUCACGCUAUCAGAUGAGCCUAGGUCGGAUUAGCUAGUUGGUGGGGUAAAGGCCUACCAAGGCGACGAUCCGUAACUGGUCUGAGAGGAUGAUCAGUCACACUGGAACUGAGACACGGUCCAGACUCCUACGGGAGGCAGCAGUGGGGAAUAUUAGACAAUGGGCGAAAGCCUGAUCCAGCCAUGCCGCGUGUGUGAAGAAGGUCUUCGGAUUGUAAAGCACUUUAAGUUGGGAGGAAGGGCAGUAAGUUAAUACCUUGCUGUUUUGACGGUACCAACAGAAUAAGCACCGGCUAACUUCGUG
RNAcentral lists this ribosomal RNA (484 nucleotides) under uncultured bacterium. RNAcentral describes it as "partial 16S ribosomal RNA". It matches the Rfam family "Bacterial small subunit ribosomal RNA", at positions 30 to 507 of the family's 1533-position model. The record is from RNAcentral.